This 497-nucleotide ribosomal RNA is filed under the name uncultured bacterium. RNAcentral describes it as "partial 16S ribosomal RNA". It matches the Rfam family "Bacterial small subunit ribosomal RNA", at positions 28 to 507 of the family's 1533-position model. The record is from RNAcentral.
GACGAACGCUGGCGGCGUGCCUAAUACAUGCAAGUUGAGCGAUGAAGAUUGGUGCUUGCACCAAUUUGAAGAGCAGCGAACGGGUGAGUAACGCGUGGGGAAUCUGCCUUUGAGCGGGGGACAACAUUUGGAAACGAAUGCUAAUACCGCAUAACAACUUUAAACAUAAGUUUUAAGUUUGAAAGAUGCAAUUGCAUCACUCAAAGAUGAUCCCGCGUUGUAUUAGCUAGUUGGUGAGGUAAAGGCUCACCAAGGCGAUGAUACAUAGCCGACCUGAGAGGGUGAUCGGCCACAUUGGGACUGAGACACGGCCCAAACUCCUACGGGAGGCAGCAGUAGGGAAUCUUCGGCAAUAGACGAAAGUCUGACCGAGCAACGCCGCGUGAGUGAAGAAGGUUUUCGGAUCGUAAAACUCUGUUGGUAGAGAAGAACGUUGGUGAGAGUGGAAAGCUCAUCAAGUGACGGUAACUACCCAGAAAGGGACGGCAAACUACGUG